RNAcentral lists this ribosomal RNA (395 nucleotides) under uncultured bacterium. RNAcentral's name for it is "bacterial SSU rRNA". It matches the Rfam family "Bacterial small subunit ribosomal RNA", at positions 29 to 428 of the family's 1533-position model. The record is from RNAcentral.
AUUGAACGCUGGCGGCAUGCCUUACACAUGCAAGUCGAACGGCAGCACGGGAGCAAUCCUGGUGGCGAGUGGCGAACGGGUGAGUAAUAUAUCGGAACGUGCCCAGUAGUGGGGGAUAGCCCGGCGAAAGCCGGAUUAAUACCGCAUACGACCUGUGGGUGAAAGCGGGGGAUCGCAAGACCUCGCGCUAUUGGAGCGGCCGAUAUCAGAUUAGCUUGUUGGUGGGUAAAAGCCCACCAAGGCGACGAUCUGUAGCUGGUCUGAGAGGACGACCAGCCACACUGGGACUGAGACACGGCCCAGACUCCUACGGGAGGCAGCAGUGGGGAAUUUUGGACAAUGGGCGCAAGCCUGAUCCAGCCAUGCCGCGUGUGGGAAGAAGGCCUCGGUUGUAA